RNAcentral lists this ribosomal RNA (253 nucleotides) under uncultured bacterium. RNAcentral describes it as "partial 16S ribosomal RNA". It matches the Rfam family "Bacterial small subunit ribosomal RNA", at positions 524 to 776 of the family's 1533-position model. The record is from RNAcentral.
UACGGGGGGGGUAAGCGUUGUUCGGAAUUACUGGGCGUAAAGGGCUCGUAGGCGGCCAACUAAGUCAGACGUGAAAUCCCUCAGCUUAACUGGGGAACUGCGUCUGAUACUGGAUGGCUUGGAUUCGGGAGAGGAAUGCGGAAUUCCAGGUGUAGCGGUGAAAUGCGUAGAUAUCAGGAGGAACACCAAUAGCGAAGGCAGCUCGCUGGGACGUUACUGACACUAAGGCGCGAAAGCGUGGGGAGCGAACAGG